This 632-nucleotide unclassified non-coding RNA is filed under the name Hevea brasiliensis (rubber tree). The record is from RNAcentral. Lineage: Eukaryota; Viridiplantae; Streptophyta; Magnoliopsida; Malpighiales; Euphorbiaceae.
GAGAAAUUACAGCAUUCCAGAAGUCGACAAGCUGAAGGCGAAGUUCAUUGCUGGGCGUAUCAUCCCUGCUGUUGCAACUGCCACGGCGCUGGCCACUGGUCUCGUCUGCCUUGAACUUUACAAGGUCCUUGCUGGUGGUCACAAGGUAGAGGACUAUCGGAACUCGUUUGCAAACCUUGCUCUGCCACUGUUUUCCAUGGCAGAGCCUGUGCCACCUAAGUUGGUGAAGCACCGGGACAUGAAGUGGACGGGCUGGGACCGAUGGAUUGUAGAAGGAGACCUUACCCUGAGGGAGCUCUUGCAGUGGCUGAGGGACAGAGGCCUCGUUGCCUAUAGCAUCUCGUGUGGCAGCUCUUUACUUUUCAAUAGCAUUUUUGUUUCCAAGCACAGGGACCGGAUGGACAGGAGGGUGGUUGACUUGGCAAGGGAUGUGGCGAAGUUGGAGAUACCCGAAUACAGGCGCCAUGUGGAUGUAGUGGUGGCCUGUGAGGAUGAUGAGGGUAACGACGUUGAUAUACCCCUCGUGUCCAUUUACUUUCGUUAGAUGAUCAUGAGUGUGAUGUAACUCUUAAGCAAAAGACCUUCCACAUUUGCCACUCUCUCUCUUUGUGCCUGAUUGAGGUUCUUGAUAU